AACGAACGCUGGCGGCAUGCCUAACACAUGCAAGUCAAACGAGACCUUCGGGUCUAGUGGCGCACGGGUGCGUAACGCGUGGGAACCUGCCCUUAGGUUCGGAAUAACUCCCCGAAAGGGGUGCUAAUACCGGAUAAUGUCUUCGGACCAAAGAUUUAUCGCCUUUGGAUGGGCCCGCGUUGGAUUAGCUAGUUGGUAGGGUAAAAGCCUACCAAGGCGACGAUCCAUAGCUGGUCUGAGAGGAUGAUCAGCCACACUGGGACUGAGACACGGCCCAGACUCCUACGGGAGGCAGCAGUGGGGAAUAGUGGACAAUGGGCGAAAGCCUGAUCCAGCAAUGCCGCGUGAGUGAUGAAGGCCUUAGGGUUGUAAAGCUCUUUUAACCGGGAUGAUAAUGACAGUACCGGGAGAAUAAGCUCCGGCUAACUCCGUG
RNAcentral lists this ribosomal RNA (433 nucleotides) under uncultured bacterium. Its description in RNAcentral is "partial 16S ribosomal RNA". It matches the Rfam family "Bacterial small subunit ribosomal RNA", at positions 29 to 507 of the family's 1533-position model. The record is from RNAcentral.